Molecule: small RNA, 5160 nt
Filed under: Pan troglodytes (chimpanzee)
Lineage: Eukaryota; Metazoa; Chordata; Mammalia; Primates; Hominidae
Description: retained intron
Source: RNAcentral
GAUUCUCAAGUGCAACCUGGCCGAGGGCCACAAAAAGUUUAGCUAAGGGAGGCUUCAGUGAGAAGCAGCACCCCCUUGGGGACACAGCCUGCACUGUGGAAAUGCCACCUCUCUCCCCUUGCCUGAGUGAAGAGCUGUUAGAUCCAGAAUUGCAUGUUCUCAUAACCCCCAGCCUGAGAGAGAAAACAGAGUCUGAGCUAAAGUUUGAGGAGGAUGAGCGAUGGAUUAUGAUGGAGGCUGAGAGAGAGUGGGAGGAAGAGAAACUGUCAGACAGGGAAAAGACUUUUCUGAUGGCAGAUGAGAAGAACAGCCUGGCAGAUAUUUUUGAAGAAAGAGAACAAACAAACACAGCAGUAGUGGAGGAUGGAUCCGAUUGCUUAGCUGCUGUCUUGAGGACUUUUGGCCACCUAUCUCUUGGUCAGAUUUGUUGCCCUGAUGACCCACAGCCAGCCAAGGACCAGUUGGCUACUGUUCCCAAGGAUAUACCCCUGGAUUGCGAUUGUGUUCUUACAGGUGAGGAUAUUCUCGGUGAGGUGGCAAACAGAACUGCUCAGGGGUUAGAGGGACUUGUUUCAGAUUCAGCAUGUACUGUGGGUACUAUUGAUGCAGAACAGCUCUCUGACACAGACUCAGUGCAGAUGUUUCUUGAACUUGAAAAGGAGUGUUUAUGUGAAGAAGGAGUAACUCCUCUAGUUGAGCUACAGAAUCAAAUCUCUUCUGAAGGGCUGGCUGCAUCCCAAGAUGCAGAAAAUUUACUCGUAAUUAGUCAUUUUUCAGGGGCUGCCUUAGAAAAGGAACAGCAUUUAGGCCUUUUACAUGUAAGGGCAAAAGAUUAUGAUACUAGAUUGGAUUGUGGAUAUUUUAAUACCCUGGAUUCUUCUCAGGUGCCUAAUGCUGUGGAACUUAUUGCCCACGUUGAUAUCAUGAGAGACACUUCCACCGUUAGCAAGGAGGAAUGUGAAAAAGUGCCUUUUAGCCCCAGGACUGCAGAAUUUAAGUCCAGACAGCCAGCUGAUCUGGAUUCACUGGAAAAGCUGGACCCAGGAGGACUGCUGAACUCUGAUCACAGGGUUUCUCAUGAAGAAAAAUUAUCAGGCUUCAUUGCUUCUGAGCUGGCCAAAGACAAUGGCAAUUUGUCCCAGGGAGACUGCAGUCAAACUGAGGGGAAUGGUGAGGAGUGCAUUGAGAGGGUCACCUUCAGUUUUGCUUUUAAUCAUGAACUAACAGAUGUUACCUCAGGACCUGAAGUAGAGGUGUUAUAUGAAUCAAAUUUACUAACAGAUGAAAUUCAUUUGGAAAGUGGGAAUGUAACUGUUAAUCAAGAAAAUAACAGUCUGACAUCAGUGGGAAAUGUGGUCACUUGUGAAUUGUCCGUGGAGAAAGUUUGUGAUGAGGAUGGUGAGGCAAAAGAGCUGGAUUAUCAAGCCACGCUUUUGGAGGAUCAAGCUCCAGCACAUUUCCACAGAAACUUCCCAGAGCAGGUCUUCCAGGAUCUCCAGAGGAAGUCCCCAGAGUCAGAGAUUCUGAGUCUGCACCUGCUGGUUGAAGAACUGAGACUUAAUCCAGAUGGAGUGGAAACUGUGAAUGAUACAAAGCCUGAGCUGAAUGUGGCAUCAUCAGAGGGAGGAGAGAUGGAAAGGAGAGAUUCAGAUUCAUUCCUAAAUAUUUUUCCAGAGAAACAAGUUACCAAGGCUGGUAAUACUGAACCAGUUUUAGAGGAAUGGAUACCCGUCCUCCAGAGACCUUCCCGGACUGCUGCAGUACCCACUGUCAAAGAUGCCCUAGAUGCUGCACUGCCCAGCCCAGAGGAGGGUACCUCAAUUGCUGCAGUGCCUGCCCCAGAGGGAACUGCUGUAGUUGCUGCUAUAGUGCCCUUUCCACAUGAGGACAUCCUAGUUGCUUCAAUAGUCUCCUUAGAGGAGGAGGAUGUCACAGCUGCUGCAGUAUCAGCCCCAGAGAGGGCUACUGUCCCAGCUGUUACAGUAUCUGUCCCUGAAGGGACUGCUGCAGUUGCUGCAGUGUGCUCCCCAGAGGAGACUGCUCCAGCUGUUGCAGCAGCCAUCACACAGGAGGGUAUGUCAGCUGUUGCAGGGUUCUCCCCAGAGUGGGCUGCUUUAGCUAUUGCAGUACCCAUCACAGAGGAGGAUGGUACACCAGAAGGGCCUGUCACCCCAGCUACCACAGUGCAUGCUCCAGAGGAGCCUGAUACUGCAGCUGUCAGAGUGUCCACCCCAGAGGAGCCCGCCUCCCCAGCUGCUGCAGUGCCCACCCCAGAGGAGCCCGCCUCCCCAGCUGCUGCAGUGCCCACCCCAGAGGAGCCCGCCUCCCCAGCUGCUGCAGUGCCCACCCCAGAGGAGCCCGCCUCCCCAGCUGCUGCAGUGCCCACCCCAGAGGAGCCCGCCUCCCCAGCUGCUGCAGUGCCCACCCCAGAGGAGCCCGCCUCCCCAGCUGCUGCAGUGCCCACCCCAGAGGAGCCCGCCUCCCCAGCUGCUGCAGUGCCCACCCCAGAGGAGCCCGCCUCCCCAGCUGCUGCAGUGCCCACCCCAGAGGAGCCCGCCUCCCCAGCUGCUGCAGUGCCCACCCCAGCAGAAUCUGCCUCCUUUGUAGCUGUGGUGGCCACCCUGGAGGAACCCACUUCCCCAGCAGCUUCGUCCAACCCAGAGGAGCCCACCUCCCCAGCAGCAGCAGUGCCCACCCUAGAGGAACCCACCUCCUCAGCAGCUGCAGUGCUCACCCCAGAGGAACUCACUUCCCCAGCAGCUUCAGUGCCCACCCCCGAGGAGCCUGCCUCCCCAGCAGCUGCAGUGUCCAACCUAGAGGAGCCCGCCUCCCCAGCAGCAGCAGUGCCCACCCCAGAGGUGGCUGCCAUCCCUGCUGCUUCAGUGCCCACCCCAGAGGUGCCUGCCAUCCCAGCUGCUGCAGUGCCUCCUAUGGAGGAAGUUUCCCCCAUUGGUGUGCCCUUCCUGGGAGUUUCUGCCCACACUGACUCAGUGCCUAUUUCAGAAGAAGGAACACCUGUUCUAGAGGAGGCUUCCUCCACUGGAAUGUGGAUCAAGGAGGACCUUGAUUCCCUAGUAUUUGGCAUAAAAGAGGUGACCAGCACAGUGCUACAUGGGAAAGUGCCUCUGGCUGCAACCGCUGGAUUAAAUUCAGAUGAGGUAAUUGUUGUCCAUUUUGAUUCUGGGAAGGGUCUAAAGAGUAAAGUGAGAUUUGCAGGGCUGACCUGGUGGUGAUGAGAAAUGGCACAGAUAGUUCUUUUGUUCUUUUUGGGUCUCCCGGGCUUAUAGUUUGUAGUCUUUCUGUUGAGUUUUUGGGGAAAAUAUACUUUAAUUUUGUCUGGUGAAAAACUUUAUAAUUUCAUGCUUCGUUUUUUAUUCAGAUAAGCCAAUCCCACGGAAAACAGGGAUAUAAACAGUUGUUGAUUUACAUUUUUAAAAAGAUUAUUAGCAGGAAAGGGUCAUUCUGUUUUUGAAUUAUACAGUGAGCAUGUUCUUGCCUAAACCAAGAGACAGUUUAUUCAUUGGUGGUGUCAACAUUUAGGUAGAGGCCAGAGUGUGAGCUUUGGAAUGAGACCUGGGGUGCUUCCUAACCACUCUGGGAAAAUUAGUUAGCUAUUCUUGAGUUUCCUGUUUCUUCAUUUGUUAAGGCAUAACUCUGUGAGGAUAAAAUGAGAUACAUUUAAGGUACCAAGCGUAUAAGAUUACCAAUCACUGGCCAUAUCCUCCCCAUUCUUUUCAAAUAGGUAUGUUGGUUGGUUGAAAGAAUUUACCAAAGUAGAUUGGAGAGAAGCAAUAAAGCUAAAUGAUUAAGAACUUUUAAAUGCAAAUAUGUGUUUCUGAAAACCAGAGCUAGGCAUAAUGUUUAUGAAAAAUAGAGGUAUUUUAGCCAUCUUUGUCAAAUUGCCUUUGUGUCUUUAAGCAAGUCAUUUUCCUUUCCAGGACCUCGUUUCUUCAUUAUAAAACAAGAAAAUUGGGCUAAAUGUCCUCUUGGGUCUCUCUUGGCUCUAAGAUUCUUUUUAUUUUUAUUUUUUAGAUGGAGUCUGGCUCUGUCACUCAGGCUGGAGUGCUAGAGUGCAGUGGUGCGAUCUCGGCUCACUGCAAGCUCCACCUCCCGGGUUCACGCCAUUCUCCUGCCUCAGCCUCCCGAGUAGCUGGGACUACAGGCGCCCGCCACUACGCCCGGCAAUUUUUUGUGUGUAUAUAUAUAUAUAUAUAUAUUUUUAGUAGAGAUGGGUUUCACUGUGUUAGCCAGGAUGGUCUCAAUCUCCUGACCUCAUGAUCUGCCUGCCUCGGCCUCCCAGAGUGCUGGGAUUACAGGCGUGAGCCACCGCGCCCAGCCGGCUCUAAGAUUCUUAAUGUUAGAGAACCGAAUGUGUUAGGAAACAGUUGGAAACGAUGUUCCACAUCCUUGAGCACUCCUAGUCCAAGGAAUUUGAGAUCAGCAGCUUUCCACAGUUAAUUACCCAGGUUUGAUUUGGUCAGUGGUAAAGAGUGCAGGAGUUAGAGGUUUAAUCUGAACACAAGAGAUGACUGAGUGAGAAGAUUGUUUUGAUUUUACUGUGUCCCUAGGACUCAAAAUAGUGCCUUCUUCAUAGCAGGCAUUUGCUGUUGACUGACUGACUGAAUGCAUGAAUAUCAAUUUCCUAGAGUAUGGAUGGAUGCUACAAGAAAGAUGGGUUUUCUCAUUCACCUCAUUGCAGAGCCUUUCAGGGCAGCCUUAAGUCAGCUAGAGCACCAGCUAAACAUGCAGGUCCUGACAACAAAAUCAUUUUGAUUGCAUGCCAUAAGCUCUUUGAUUAAGAAGAUUGAUUAAGAUAAUCUGGCCUUGCUGAGUGGUGGUGGUUUUACCUUGAGCUUUACCAGUUAUUUUGUCAGGUAGCAUUCCAUUAAAUUAGGAUGCAUCAUCUUUGAGACUGAUGGAUUUUUGAUUCAUUUUUCCGAGUUUUAUUGAAUUUGGAAUGACACCGAGAUCCCAAUAGCCUGUACAAAGUGAAGACAGUAGGUCAACAACAGAGCCAUUCUUGAUAAUACAGAAUAUUUCACACCAGGCACAGUGGCUCACACCUCUAAUCCCAGCAUUUGGGAAGCCAAGGGAAGAGGAUUGCUUGAGGCCAGGAGUUCGAGAACAGCCUAGGCAACAUAGUAAGACCCCAUCUCUGAG